AGCGUACACGGUGGAUGCCCUGGCAGUCAGAGGCGAUGAAGGACGUGCUAAUCUGCGAAAAGCGCCGGCGAGGUGAUAUGAACCUUUGACCCGGCGAUGUCCGAAUGGGGAAACCCAGUGUGAUUCGUCACACUAUCGUUAACUGAAUACAUAGGUUAACGAGGCGAACCGGGGGAACUGAAACAUCUAAGUACCCCGAGGAAAAGAAAUCAACCGAGAUUCCCCCAGUAGCGGCGAGCGAACGGGGAGCAGCCCAGAGUCUGAAUCAGCUUGUGUGUUAGUGGAAGCGUCUGGAAAGUCGCACGGUACAGGGUGACAGUCCCGUACACGAAAGCACACAGGUUGUGAACUCGAAGAGUAGGGCGGGACACGUGGUAUCCUGUCUGAAUAUGGGGGGACCAUCCUCCAAGGCUAAAUACUCCUGACUGACCGAUAGUGAACCAGUACCGUGAGGGAAAGGCGAAAAGAACCCCGGCGAGGGGAGUGAAAAAGAACCUGAAACCGUGUACGUACAAGCAGUGGGAGCACCUUCGUGGUGUGACUGCGUACCUUUUGUAUAAUGGGUCAGCGACUUAUAUUCUGUAGCAAGGUUAACCGUAUAGGGGAGCCGAAGGGAAACCGAGUCUUAACUGGGCGUUAAGUUGCAGGGUAUAGACCCGAAACCCGGUGAUCUAGCCAUGGGCAGGUUGAAGGUUGGGUAACACUAACUGGAGGACCGAACCGACUAAUGUUGAAAAAUUAGCGGAUGACUUGUGGCUGGGGGUGAAAGGCCAAUCAAACCGGGAGAUAGCUGGUUCUCCCCGAAAGCUAUUUAGGUAGCGCCUCGUGAACUCAUCUUCGGGGGUAGAGCACUGUUUCGGCUAGGGGGCCAUCCCGGCUUACCAACCCGAUGCAAACUACGAAUACCGAAGAAUGUUAUCACGGGAGACACACGGCGGGUGCUAACGUCCGUCGUGAAGAGGGAAACAACCCAGACCGCCAGCUAAGGUCCCAAAGUCAUGGUUAAGUGGGAAACGAUGUGGGAAGGCACAGACAGCCAGGAUGUUGGCUUAGAAGCAGCCAUCAUUUAAAGAAAGCGUAAUAGCUCACUGGUCGAGUCGGCCUGCGCGGAAGAUGUAACGGGGCUAAACCAUGCACCGAAGCUGCGGCAGCGACACUAUGUGUUGUUGGGUAGGGGAGCGUUCUGUAAGCCGUUGAAGGUGGCCUGUGAGGGUUGCUGGAGGUAUCAGAAGUGCGAAUGCUGACAUAAGUAACGAUAAAGCGGGUGAAAAGCCCGCUCGCCGGAAGACCAAGGGUUCCUGUCCAACGUUAAUCGGGGCAGGGUGAGUCGACCCCUAAGGCGAGGCCGAAAGGCGUAGUCGAUGGGAAACAGGUUAAUAUUCCUGUACUUGGUGUUACUGCGAAGGGGGGACGGAGAAGGCUAUGUUAGCCGGGCGACGGUUGUCCCGGUUUAAGCAUGUAGGCGGAAUGAUUAGGUAAAUCCGGUCGUUUUUUAACGCUGAGGUGUGAUGACGAGGCACUACGGUGCUGAAGUAACAAAUGCCCUGCUUCCAGGAAAAGCCUCUAAGCAUCAGGUAACAUCAAAUCGUACCCCAAACCGACACAGGUGGUCAGGUAGAGAAUACCAAGGCGCUUGAGAGAACUCGGGUGAAGGAACUAGGCAAAAUGGUGCCGUAACUUCGGGAGAAGGCACGCUGAUAUGUAGGUGAAGCCCCUGCGGGUGGAGCUGAAAUCAGUCGAAGAUACCAGCUGGCUGCAACUGUUUAUUAAAAACACAGCACUGUGCAAACACGAAAGUGGACGUAUACGGUGUGACGCCUGCCCGGUGCCGGAAGGUUAAUUGAUGGGGUUAGCGGUAACGCGAAGCUCUUGAUCGAAGCCCCGGUAAACGGCGGCCGUAACUAUAACGGUCCUAAGGUAGCGAAAUUCCUUGUCGGGUAAGUUCCGACCUGCACGAAUGGCGUAAUGAUGGCCAGGCUGUCUCCACCCGAGACUCAGUGAAAUUGAACUCGCUGUGAAGAUGCAGUGUACCCGCGGCAAGACGGAAAGACCCCGUGAACCUUUACUAUAGCUUGACACUGAACACUGGUCCUUGAUGUGUAGGAUAGGUGGGAGGCUUUGAAGCGUGGACGCCAGUCUGCGUGGAGCCGUCCUUGAAAUACCACCCUUUAAUGGCUGGUGUUCUAACGUAGACCCGUAAUCCGGGUUGCGGACAGUGUCUGGUGGGUAGUUUGACUGGGGCGGUCUCCUCCCAAAGAGUAACGGAGGAGCACGAAGGUUAGCUAAUCCUGGUCGGACAUCAGGAGGUUAGUGCAAUGGCAUAAGCUAGCUUGACUGCGAGAGUGACGGCUCGAGCAGGUGCGAAAGCAGGUCAUAGUGAUCCGGUGGUUCUGAAUGGAAGGGCCAUCGCUCAACGGAUAAAAGGUACUCCGGGGAUAACAGGCUGAUACCGCCCAAGAGUUCAUAUCGACGGCGGUGUUUGGCACCUCGAUGUCGGCUCAUCACAUCCUGGGGCUGAAGUAGGUCCCAAGGGUAUGGCUGUUCGCCAUUUAAAGUGGUACGCGAGCUGGGUUUAGAACGUCGUGAGACAGUUCGGUCCCUAUCUGCCGUGGGCGCUGGAGAAUUGAGGGGGGCUGCUCCUAGUACGAGAGGACCGGAGUGGACGCAUCACUGGUGUUCGGGUUGUCAUGCCAAUGGCACUGCCCGGUAGCUAAAUGCGGAAAAGAUAAGUGCUGAAAGCAUCUAAGCACGAAACUUGCCCCGAGAUGAGUUCUCCCUGACUCCUUGA
Molecule: ribosomal RNA, 2788 nt
Filed under: Enterobacter sp. MR1
Lineage: Bacteria; Pseudomonadati; Pseudomonadota; Gammaproteobacteria; Enterobacterales; Enterobacteriaceae
Description: bacterial LSU rRNA
Rfam family: Bacterial large subunit ribosomal RNA
Source: RNAcentral